Mytilus californianus (California mussel) is the source of this 957-nucleotide long non-coding RNA. RefSeq lists it as uncharacterized. NCBI's taxonomy places the organism in Eukaryota, Metazoa, Mollusca, Bivalvia, Mytilida, Mytilidae. The record is from RefSeq and is a predicted model, not a curated record. The transcript has 3 exons.
UAGUUUGAUCAAUAAUGCUUCGCAGAUUGUUACUAAAUAUAGACUGAGGCUGGUCAUCAAUUUACUUAUGUUUUAAGACAUGGUCCGUUCAAAAAGUUCUAUUUAUAGUGUACGGACUUGGUUGAACAAAACAUGCUGUUGUAGGUGCAUAUGUAGUAAAGACAGGGAGGUUGCUUCGUCAAAAGAAUCUGCUUUGACAGGGGAGAUUGACGAUUUAAAGAUUUUUAUCCAUAUUUCAUACCCAGUAAAUAUAUAUAAGCAUAUCUUCCAUGAAGAAGAUGCUGAAUGCAAACAAAAAGUAGACAAACUCGGUGAAAACAGAAAGUGGGAUGAGCUCGUUUCUUACCUUAAAACAGCUGGAGGUAUUAACUCCAGCAGAUCCCCCAUUAAAGAUGAACCAAAUUCACAAGCAUCUUUGUACACACCUCUUCAUCAUGCUGCUGCCGGGAAAGCCCCAAAGCAUGUCUUUGAAGAUCUUCUGAAAAUGGGUGCAUCCAAAUGCUUGAAAACAUCAAAAGGAGAAACUGCAUUUGACAUAGCAUUGACAAAUUCUCUGGAUGAAGAUAUAUUAAGACUAAUUGAGGUAUCAGAAAGUGUAAAACAGAAUGGAGAAUAUAUAGCUAUAAUGGAAAAAUCCCUACACACUAUUAUAUUGGAUAGAGUGGAACGUCUAAUCAAAAAUAAUGGUCAACAACUCCCACAGCUUGUUUUUCUAUAUGAGAAAGGUCCGUUUCAUUAUUCAGUUCCAAUGAUGUAUGGCGGAUUUAACGUAAAGAAAUAUAAUGAUGGCAUAAAAGUUCAUAGUUUCUGUCGUGUAGUGGGUGGUUAUGCGAAGGACCAUUUAAUUGAAAGAAAUGGAAACAUAACUCUAGUAGCUACUGGCUACCCUUUUUAAAACUUCAGAUGUAUAGACAUUAGCUAACGUGAACAGUGUUAAUAAAUAUACCCCUAUACCCU